RNAcentral lists this ribosomal RNA (714 nucleotides) under uncultured Pseudomonadota bacterium. RNAcentral's name for it is "bacterial SSU rRNA". It matches the Rfam family "Bacterial small subunit ribosomal RNA", at positions 8 to 717 of the family's 1533-position model. Lineage: Bacteria; Pseudomonadati; Pseudomonadota. The record is from RNAcentral.
AGAGUUUGAUCAUGGCUCAGAUUGAACGCUGGCGGCAUGCCUUACACAUGCAAGUCGAACGGCAGCGCGGGAGCAAUCCUGGCGGCGAGUGGCGAACGGGUGAGUAAUACAUCGGAACGUGCCCAAUCGUGGGGGAUAACGCAGCGAAAGUUGCGCUAAUACCGCAUACGAUCUACGGAUGAAAGUGGGGGAUCGCAAGACCUCAUGCUCAUGGAGCGGCCGAUAUCUGAUUAGCUAGUUGGUGGGGUAAAGGCCUACCAAGGCAUCGAUCAGUAGCUGGUCUGAGAGGACGACCAGCCACACUGGAACUGAGACACGGUCCAGACUCCUACGGGAGGCAGCAGUGGGGAAUUUUGGACAAUGGGGGCAACCCUGAUCCAGCAAUGCCGCGUGAGUGAAGAAGGCCUUCGGGUUGUAAAGCUCUUUUGUCAGGGAAGAAACGGUGAGGGCUAAUAUCCUUUGCUAAUGACGGUACCUGAAGAAUAAGCACCGGCUAACUACGUGCCAGCAGCCGCGGUAAUACGUAGGGUGCAAGCGUUAAUCGGAAUUACUGGGCGUAAAGCGUGCGCAGGCGGUUUUGUAAGUCUGUCGUGAAAGCCCCGGGCUCAACCUGGGAAUUGCGAUGGAGACUGCAAGGCUUGAAUCUGGCAGAGGGGGGUAGAAUUCCACGUGUAGCAGUGAAAUGCGUAGAGAUGUGGAGGAACACCGAUGGCG